RNAcentral lists this ribosomal RNA (377 nucleotides) under uncultured cyanobacterium. Its description in RNAcentral is "bacterial SSU rRNA". It matches the Rfam family "Bacterial small subunit ribosomal RNA", at positions 376 to 770 of the family's 1533-position model. Lineage: Bacteria; Bacillati; Cyanobacteriota. The record is from RNAcentral.
CGAAAGCCUGACGGAGCAACGCCGCGUGAGGGAGGAAGGCUCUUGGGUUGUAAACCUCUUUUCUCAAGGAAGAUAAUGACGGUAUUUGAGGAAUCAGCAUCGGCUAACUCCGUGCCAGCAGCCGCGGUAAUACGGAGGAUGCAAGCGUUAUCCGGAAUAAUUGGGCGUAAAGCGUUCGUAGGUGGUGAUGUAAGUCUGCUGUUAAAGCGUGUAGCUUAACUACAUAUAGGCGGUGGAAACUACAUGACUAGAGUGCGUUCGGGGCAGAGGGAAUUCCUGGUGUAGCGGUGAAAUGCGUAGAUAUCAGGAAGAACACCGGUGGCGAAGGCGCUCUGCUAGGCCGUAACUGACACUGAGGGACGAAAGCUAGGGGAGCG